Molecule: long non-coding RNA, 1329 nt
Filed under: Theobroma cacao (cacao)
Lineage: Eukaryota; Viridiplantae; Streptophyta; Magnoliopsida; Malvales; Malvaceae
Description: long non-coding RNA (TCAC_LNC004350)
Source: RNAcentral
ACAAAACAAGAAGGAAAAGCAUCAAAUGGUAAGCACAAACUCUUGCAUUGAACCCAUAUUUUCUGUGAUGGAAACAAGCACCUCUCCUUAAAUGCUUGUAUGGGUGGGUGCAUGUAAGGGUCAAAAAGCCAAAAGCCUAUAGAUGUCAACCAAUCAAAGGAAAUACAGAGGGCUGCCAGUGCCACCAGGGAGGCAAAAAAGACAUAUAAAAUUGUAAAAAGGGCUCCAAGUGAAUCGACUCCUGCUUUGUUCUUCACAUGACGGUCAUGUGCCCCCAACAGCUUUUUUGGGGAGAAGUCAUAUUCUUUCAUUAAGCCAUGCCUGACUACUUGCCAGGGGAAAACAUGAAUCCUUGUAGCUAACCAGUUUCAAUUAAUUUGUAUGAAUUUUUUUUUACUCAUUUCAAUAUGCACGUGUCCCUUUCAGCAAUGGCAACUAAAGGGUGCAAUCUAAUCUUGGUUUUCUAAAGAUCUGUUGCUUAAUUUAUAUACGUACAAUAUGGAUCCAACAGUGGAGGAUUGGCUGCCGAAGGGGUGCUGUCAAUGUUUCGGGCUGUCCUGUCAUCGUCGUCAACGUAGUGGCUGCAUGCAAAACAUAGGGCUAAACUAUUGCUUUUAAUUUUCACCAUCGUAGUCGUCCCUGCUCGUGGUCUCCACUCCCCACUAGUAAAGGCAAAAGGAGAUGCUAACAAGGGGAAAAGGAAAUUUGUUUGAAUAGAUACUAGCACUAUGACAGCUUUUAAGGACAAAUUUUUGCUGUGGCUUUUCAAUCCUAAAGUGGUCAGGCCAAAACAUAAAUUCUAGAUGAAACAAACCAUGAGAUGUGGUGCUUUCUUUUCCAUUAUAUAUAUCUUGUCGAUGGAGAACAUAAAGUAAUGCUAGUAUAUUGUUUCAUGACAUUCAUUUCCUAUUAUUACUCUAUGAUUUUCUCAGCUAAUCAGAUGUUUGGCUGGGAGGAAAAUUAUACAUGACAUGGUUUCCUAAGGAGAAUUAAUAGAAAAGAGGAGAAGGAAGAAAAAAAAGUUAUAAUCUCAAGGUUUAGUUUGAUUCAAAAGAAAUGAAACGAAAGUAAGCAUCCGAAUUAAUUAUAUUUAUGCAUACAGACAGGAAAUUAAGGAGUCCUCCCAAAACUAACUCACCAUUAUUCAGCCCUUUUGUAAUCUAAACAAUAUUCUGUUGGAAUUGGACCACACAAGGAUGGCAACAGUACUCAACCUCAAAGCUGACCGUUUAUAAAUGAUUAGAUUGAAAAUUUUGAGCAAGUUGAUUGACAAUACAAAAUUUUGGCAUCUUUAUUUGACUUGCAUGAUGUUGAAAUCCACCCAAAAAG